Molecule: ribosomal RNA, 737 nt
Filed under: Bacillus mojavensis
Lineage: Bacteria; Bacillati; Bacillota; Bacilli; Caryophanales; Bacillaceae
Description: bacterial SSU rRNA
Rfam family: Bacterial small subunit ribosomal RNA
Source: RNAcentral
AUACAUGCAAGUCGAGCGGACAGAUGGGAGCUUGCUCCCUGAUGUUAGCGGCGGACGGGUGAGUAACACGUGGGUAACCUGCCUGUAAGACUGGGAUAACUCCGGGAAACCGGGGCUAAUACCGGAUGCUUGUUUGAACCGCAUGGUUCAAACAUAAAAGGUGGCUUCGGCUACCACUUACAGAUGGACCCGCGGCGCAUUAGCUAGUUGGUGAGGUAACGGCUCACCAAGGCAACGAUGCGUAGCCGACCUGAGAGGGUGAUCGGCCACACUGGGACUGAGACACGGCCCAGACUCCUACGGGAGGCAGCAGUAGGGAAUCUUCCGCAAUGGACGAAAGUCUGACGGAGCAACGCCGCGUGAGUGAUGAAGGUUUUCGGAUCGUAAAGCUCUGUUGUUAGGGAAGAACAAGUACCGUUCGAAUAGGGCGGUACCUUGACGGUACCUAACCAGAAAGCCACGGCUAACUACGUGCCAGCAGCCGCGGUAAUACGUAGGUGGCAAGCGUUGUCCGGAAUUAUUGGGCGUAAAGGGCUCGCAGGCGGUUCCUUAAGUCUGAUGUGAAAGCCCCCGGCUCAACCGGGGAGGGUCAUUGGAAACUGGGGAACUUGAGUGCAGAAGAGGAGAGUGGAAUUCCACGUGUAGCGGUGAAAUGCGUACAGAUGUNNAGGAACACCCCCGGCGAAGGCGACUCUCUGGUCUGCAACUGACACUCACUAGCGAAAGCGCGGGGAGCG